RNAcentral lists this ribosomal RNA (433 nucleotides) under uncultured bacterium. RNAcentral describes it as "partial 16S ribosomal RNA". It matches the Rfam family "Bacterial small subunit ribosomal RNA", at positions 29 to 507 of the family's 1533-position model. The record is from RNAcentral.
AACGAACGCUGGCGGCAUGCCUAACACAUGCAAGUCGAACGACACCUUCGUGUCUAGUGGCGCACGGGUGCGUCACGCGUGGGAACCUGCCCUUAGGCUCCGAAUUACUCCUUGAAAGGGGUGCUAAUAUCGGAUAAUUUCCUCGUACACCAGAUUUAUCGACUUUGUAUGGGCCCGCGUUGGAUUAGCUUGUGGGUAUGGUAAGAGCCUACCAAGGCGUCGAUCCUUAGCUGGUCUGAGAGGAUGAUCAGCCACACUGGGACUGAGACACGGCCCAGACUACUACGGGAGGCAGCAGUGGGGAAUAUUGGACAAUGGGGGAAAGCCUGAUCCAGCAAUGCCGCGUGAGUGAUGAAGGCCUUAGGGUUGUAAAGCUCGUUUACACGGGAUGAUAAUGACAGUACCGGGAGAAUAAGCUCCGGCUAACUCCGUG